GAACGCACAUUGCGCCCCUCGGUAUUCCGGGGGGCAUGCCUGUUCGAGCGUCAUUACACCCCUCAAGCGUAGCUUGGUAUUGGGUCCUCGCCCCCCGGGGCGUGCCCGAAAAGCAGUGGCGGCUCGGUGUGACUUUAAGCGUAGUAAAUUUUCAUCCCGCUUUGAAAGUUCGCCCCGUGGCUUGCCAGACAACCCCAUUUAUUUCAAUGAUUGACCUCGGAUCAGGUAGGGAUACCCGCUGAACUUAAG
This 249-nucleotide unclassified non-coding RNA is filed under the name Hypogymnia physodes. RNAcentral describes it as "sequence contains 5.8S rRNA gene". The stretch from base 1 to 53 matches the Rfam family "5.8S ribosomal RNA", at positions 102 to 154 of the family's 154-position model. The record is from RNAcentral. Lineage: Eukaryota; Fungi; Ascomycota; Lecanoromycetes; Lecanorales; Parmeliaceae.